GCUCAGGAGGCUGAGGCAGGAAGAUUGCAAGUUGAAAACCAACUUCAGCAAUUUAGCAACUACCUAAGCAACUCAGUAAGAUCCUGUCUCUAAAUUAAAUGUAAAACAAGGCUGAGUUUAUGGCUCAGUGGUUAAAGCCCCUGGGUUUAAUCCCCAGUAGGGGGAGGGGGGAGGGGGCUCUUAAAAGCUGGGUGCAGUGGCAAAAACAUCUGUAAUCCUAGCUACUUGGAAGGCUGAGGCAGGAGAAUGCUUGAAUCUAGAAGUUCUUGGCCAACCUAAGCAAUAUAAUGAGAACCUGUCUCAAAAAAAAAAAAAAAAUCAUCUUUAUGAAAACCCUGUAAAUUAUGAGAAAUGAAUGUACAAAGGAAUGUACAAACAUGUUGAUGAGCAUAGACUAUGUUAGAUAAACAAAUCCACCUAUGAUCACAAGAGAGACAAGUUCCAAUUGACAGACAUUUUACAAAAUACUUGACCAGGUACUCAAACCAUCAAGGUCAUCAAAAACAAAAACCUGAGAAACUAUUACAACUGAUUAACAAAAAAGAUUGUAUGAUUCAGCUUGACAUGACUGCUGACAUUUUGAGCUAUAACUACUAUGAUUGCCUCAGUGUAAUUCUAGAUAAUUUUUUGUUUGUUUUUUCUUUUGGUACAAGGGAUUGAACCAAG
RNAcentral lists this long non-coding RNA (666 nucleotides) under Marmota monax (woodchuck). The record is from RNAcentral. Lineage: Eukaryota; Metazoa; Chordata; Mammalia; Rodentia; Sciuridae.